Molecule: long non-coding RNA, 1606 nt
Organism: Glossina fuscipes
Lineage: Eukaryota; Metazoa; Arthropoda; Insecta; Diptera; Glossinidae
Exons: 3
Source: RefSeq, a predicted model, not a curated record
AAAAAAUGCAAGCAGCAAUAGCAAUUCUGACGAAAAUGGUGGCUUGAAUAGUAAGCAAAUCGAUUCGCUUAAUAUAACUAACUCUGACGGUAAUCAUAACAACAAUAGUAGUGAAUUGAUUAUUGCUGAAGCUUCAAAAAUCCUAUUGAAAAAUGGCUUAAAUGGCUCAAAGGCAGCAGCAGCCGCUGCUGUAGCUAUUGCCACAGCAAUUUUAUUGACAGCUGCUGCAAAUUUAAUAGUAGUCCCUCCAAAUGUUAUCGCAGUAAUAGCAUCUGUGGAGAGUCCGAAAUCUUCGUCAAUUGCUAACUUUUCAUCUGUAAAUCUAAACAGCAUUUGCGCCCAACAGCCCGCUAAUAGUGCCAGCAACAGUAUAAGUUAUCAUCAUAACAAUGCACACAAUGUAACCAUACCUAGCAAUCAAAUUUACGGAGGUCGCUUACAAUUUUUUAAAGAUGGUAAAUUUAUAUUGGAGCUGGCACGUUCGAAAGACGAUGACAAAAGUGGUUGGGUUUCAGUAUCAUGAGAAGAUAAUACCAUUCCAUCACCCGCUAGGUCAUCGACAUUAACUCAUUUUACAUUGAUCACAGGGGCUACACAAUCGCUAUUAGCGGCGUCUCCAGCUGCAUUGACCGUUCCAAAGAACGAAUGUUCCAAAUCAUUGUGUUGUUCAGAUGACACAAUCAUCACCAUUUCAAUGGGAUCAUCGCUGGAAACAAGUGACGUCUCGAAAAAAGACCUAAAUGAUAAGAAUAGUAUUGAAAAAGAAAGCAAUGGCCAUCGUGAAGGCGACAAUCGUCAGUUUGUUGAUGGCGAUGUUCAGAAUGGCUUAACGAAGAACAAACUUGAUAAUGGAAUUGUCGCCAAUGAAUCUGACAUCGAUGCAAUAAAAGAGAAAAUAUCAUAUAUAGUUGCGAUAAAAAAAUAAUGACAAUUCCCUAGGCUGUAAUCACAACAAAGACGCGAAGAACAAAAACUUCAAAUUUUCGUGAAAGCAGUGAAGUUGCACUCGUAGGAAUAAAUUUUAAGGAAAGGACGAAACACUUCUUUUGUUUUGGAUUUGCAUGCAGUUAAUGAAGAAUCGUUCUGAUUAAAGCGGACUUUAUCGUUUUCUAAUUGGCCAUUGGCCAUAUAUGAGAAAAAACGCAGACUUAAUAACGGCAAAAAUCAGUUAAUGAUAUGUUUAUCAAGUGUCAGGUUUCGAUCUCAUCUUUUGGUGGUUUAAAAAAUUAUAAUAUGAAGUCACGUCACUUAAUGGAAGGCCUUUAAUGGUGACGAAGCUAAAAAAAAGCAAGAUGUGUACCACGCUUGAGUGAAAUUUUUACUAAAGCCAAAAAAUUAUAUCGAUCACAGCGCACUUAGCUGGCGGAUUUUCCUAAACUUUCCAAUUCUAACCCAAUGACAGAAACUGCGCAGAGUUCCAAAUAAUCAAAAAAUAAAGUUAAUUUUUUAUCGGAGGCAACAAAUGGCACGAGGAAGUGUUGGACUUAAUACGCGGCUAACGUUGACAUAGGGUAGAAAAGCAGAUGGUAGAGCAACUUACUUAAACGUUCGGGCAAUUUUCGUAAACUUUUUUCGAUAAAAGGCGAAUUAUGCCCCAUGAAAACAA